UUGAAAUCCAAUUUGAACAGAGUUUCUUUCCUCCCUCCUCGCAUACGGUGGCGACUUCAUCUCCCUUCCCUAAUUUCGCUGGCAUCUCCCACUCCAUCACUCCGCCUUUCACUCUCACACCUUCAUUUCGUUUGUAUCAAGCCUAAAGCCAACCCUCCAAACCCAAUCAUAAACAAAAACCUAAUCGAACAUAGUCUGAAAUUAAACAGGGAUGCAGCGUUGGAUCGAGCCAUAAGCUUAGGGAUUUUGUUCGGUGGCAUACAAGCUAUACAAUGGUAUAAAGAUUGGUGUAAGAAGGUAAAGAAGAAGACUAACCACCGGAGCAAUUCCGGCAAUUCUUCAUGGUGGAGAGACGAACAAAAAAACAGAGAUUAA
This is a non-coding RNA of Vicia faba (fava bean), 375 nucleotides long. The record is from the annotation of a GenBank genome assembly. Lineage: Eukaryota; Viridiplantae; Streptophyta; Magnoliopsida; Fabales; Fabaceae.